RNAcentral lists this ribosomal RNA (172 nucleotides) under Parapagurus furici. Its description in RNAcentral is "partial 16S rRNA". The record is from RNAcentral. Lineage: Eukaryota; Metazoa; Arthropoda; Malacostraca; Decapoda; Parapaguridae.
UCUUUAUAUUAAUUUUUUAUUCUCAAAAUUUAUCUGUAAAUAAAAAAACUAAAAAACAAUAUUAUAUUGGGGAGAUAAAAAUAUAAAAUCUAUAUAACUAUUUUUACACUAACACAAUAAUAUUUGAUUUUAAUCAAUAACAGAGCCUUCUUCAAGACUUCUAGAUUAAGUU